Molecule: non-coding RNA, 104 nt
Organism: Acanthosepion pharaonis
Lineage: Eukaryota; Metazoa; Mollusca; Cephalopoda; Sepiida; Sepiidae
Source: the annotation of a GenBank genome assembly
UUAGGUUGAGAACAUGGGUUCCUGUAAACUCACUGAAGUUAAGCAACAUUGAGCCUGGACAGUUCCUAGAUGGGUGACCACUUGGGAAUACCAGGUGCUGUAAG